Molecule: long non-coding RNA, 2529 nt
Organism: Acipenser ruthenus (sterlet)
Lineage: Eukaryota; Metazoa; Chordata; Actinopteri; Acipenseriformes; Acipenseridae
Exons: 3
Source: RefSeq, a predicted model, not a curated record
UUCUAGUAGUUUCAAUUUUUUUUUCAAGUGUGACUUUGUUGUGAAAAAUAUAUUGUGAUUAUCCGUACUUUGGAGAAAAUUGCUGAGUAUGACUAUGAUGCAGAAAAAUUUCUGUAUUCCAUUUCUAAGUGUAACUUCUUUGUCAGUCUGGUAUGUGCAGAGUCAAUCCUGCAACUCGCAAAGUCUCUUCAUUUGUUCCUGCAACGUGAGAAUGUCGACUUGAUUCAAGCAUGUGAAGAAGGAAAUGUUGUGGUUGACCUAUGUGGUGGUCACCGGAAUACAUCACUAUUUAUGUACCAGUAUUAACUGUUGUAAAACACACUGUUUAGAUGUUUUAAAUAAACUAAUUCUAACUAUUUGUGUAGUUGCUUUGAAGGUAAUUUACUGGUGUUUUUCUGAUUUCUAUUGUAUUUCAUAGGCUGAAGAGUAUACACCACAGGCAAACAGCUUUUAUUUUGUGUGUGCUGGGGACGGGGGUGCGGUGGGCAACAUCUUAGCAGCAGGGUUGCCAACUGUUUUUACAAAAACCCGUCCACUUCUUCCUGAAAACCUGCCCAAUCAGGAGCGAUGGAAUGGUCUACAGUAUGAAAGGCAGCACUUAGAUCAAGAAGAAUUAAAACUGAAGGAAAGCCCAAGUCCGAGCUUAUCAGCAGAUCCUUCACACUCUGACAAGGGCUGUCUCGGUGCUAUGUGCAGCACAAAAACCAGACAUUAACAGCUCAGCUCAUCGCUACCACCCUCACGCUGGAUCAGGAGCGGCAAAGACGAACACACACUGUCCUCCGAAGCAUGUGCUGUCAGCUGACCGCUUCUUUUCACUCUGCAGGCCCGCCAUGCAGCCAACCCAGAGCUACAGCGUCAGAGGACAAUGCAGCUCUGGGCAGCUUACAGGCAAGCCCGCAGACGCCCGGCCAGUCUACAGGGGUUGCUGCUGCGCAGUGAGCUGAGGACACCCUGGCCGACCUAAACAGUUGAGGCAACCUUGACCCCCACCACUUUUACAAUUUUGCCCAAGAGGAGGGAGCUGCUGCCUACAGAGAAGGAGCGAGGAGGGGAGGUCAGGAGACCACCUGCACCAGCAUCAGUUUCGCUGCAAGAUUUUCUGUUUCGGAGCCCAAGAAGAAGGAGCCACCGCAUGGGGGUUGGAUUGUUAUUUAUUUAUUUAUUUAUUUAUUUAUUUAUUAGCAGACACCCUUAUCCAGGGCAAUUUACAAUUGUUACAAAAUAUCACAGUACAAAGUAUUGAAUUAUAAAAUCACAUUACAAGCUCCCCCCUUCUGGGCGCUGGACGCUUGGGCUCCCCCCUCUUUGGCGAUGGAGACAGUGAAGAUGGGCACUCCGGGGAGAUGGGGCACCAACAGUUGACCUCUACCACGCUAAUGAAGGCAUCCCAGCUGCUCUCCCUUUUUUCUGCUGCAGCUGGUACUGGCUGCUUCUGGGGAUGGCCGCUCCUUCCCUUCUUUCUCCUCAGAGCCGGCAGUCGUUCCCCUUAAUACACAAUUUUAACCCACAGGUUACACUCACCCAAACACAACCUCCCAAACAAAGGCUUUUCCCCUCCUUAAAUACCAUGUGGCUGGAGCCUGAUUAACUAUUAAUCAUUCAAUUAAGGCUCCAGCCACAUUCACACAUGUAUUUGGCAGGGAUAGGAAUUAACCCCAUCCCUGCCAACUACCACCACCAAUGCACAAACCAACACUAUUUACACGCAGAGCCCUGCCCUGCCACAGUAUGUUUUCUUUGUAUUUUGUUAUGUCACAUCUCCCAAAUGUUUUUUUUUUUUUUUAAUUUUAACAUGUAUUAACUUUGCCACUUUAAGUGCAAUGCCUGACUUCAGCAUUCUAAGCAUAGUCCCACAUAAAUAAAUAAGAAAUACAAUGGUACCCAGCUCAUGACAAGCUGGUUUGUUGUAAACCUGCCUAAAAAUACAGGGUCAGUUAAAAAUGUUAUUGAAUUACAAAGGUACAAUAUUAUUUUUCUUUUGUAAAUAGUUCCAUAGAUUUGUAUUCCUUAUAGAAAAAAAGGUGGCACAAACUUUGCAAACACUAAAUCUAUCCCUUUCUUUCAACUUCCAGAGUGGUGGGGUUUCCAUGCAGUUUAGAAACUCCAAAUUAUCUCUCUAUUGUCGACAGAAUGUGACGUAGCAGCACAUACCACAUACAAUCCUCAUGCUAUAGGAAGUGUGUGGCCAAAACAUAGUAUGACUUAAAAGUGUGUGUAAAUCACCUUCACACGCUAAAAAGUCACACAAAUUAACAAAAAACUCUUUUUUUUUUUGCAUGGGCAUGUCUGAAAGUCGUACUUUACUUUCACAAGACUUCAGCAAUGAAGCUUCCAUUUGUGACUUUCUACUAUAACUAAAGGCCUCUUCAUUCAGUAUAUUUUUUAUGUGACCGUUUAUUCAGUGUUUCAAAUUACUGCUGUUUGACUCUGGUUAGGAUGGCUUGUGGGUGACCUCAGACCAGGAAAUGAAUGGAAUAACAAAACAAGGUACUGCAGGGAAUGAGACGCUAUUGCACUCCAUCUUUA